AGGUAAUUCGGACAGCUGACUCUUAAUCAGCGGGUCACAGGUUCGAGCCCUGUAUCGCCUACCA
Molecule: transfer RNA, 64 nt
Filed under: Porticoccaceae bacterium
Lineage: Bacteria; Pseudomonadati; Pseudomonadota; Gammaproteobacteria; Cellvibrionales; Porticoccaceae
Description: tRNA-Lys
Rfam family: tRNA
About the family: Transfer RNA (tRNA) molecules are approximately 80 nucleotides in length. Their secondary structure includes four short double-helical elements and three loops (D, anti-codon, and T loops).
Source: RNAcentral